This 58-nucleotide transfer RNA is filed under the name Dipodomys ordii (Ord's kangaroo rat). It matches the Rfam family "tRNA", at positions 8 to 63 of the family's 71-position model. From Rfam's summary of the family: Transfer RNA (tRNA) molecules are approximately 80 nucleotides in length. Lineage: Eukaryota; Metazoa; Chordata; Mammalia; Rodentia; Heteromyidae. The record is from Rfam by way of RNAcentral.
UGACUCAGUGGUAGAGUGCUUGCCUCACAUGCAUGAGGUCCUGAGUUCAAUUCCUCAG